Amphibalanus amphitrite is the source of this 474-nucleotide long non-coding RNA. RefSeq lists it as uncharacterized. The record is from RefSeq and is a predicted model, not a curated record. The transcript is spliced from 2 exons. NCBI's taxonomy places the organism in Eukaryota, Metazoa, Arthropoda, Thecostraca, Balanomorpha, Balanidae.
AGUGUAAGGUUGCCUAGAAGAGAAGAAAUAGGCGGCGUGAAAAUGAUGGUGGUUUUGAGGCAAUUGCGGCCAGCCGUCAGUCACCUGUGGCGGAAGCCAGCGAGGUGCGGCGACCACCGUCUGGACUCCGGAGGAAGUGGAGGACAGUGUUGAAACAGUGUAGUCCUCAAACGAGUGUUGUGGGUUGAUAGGCUUGGUACGGCAUCAUCAACUUAUUUGUUACUGAUGUUGGUUCCUCAUACAAGCAGUUCGCGUAGAAUUAAGGAAUCAGACAUGUCAUGGGUUCGAACGAAGGGGGAAUUUUACGAUACAUAUUUUUCCUUUGAAUUGCGUCAUCGCCGCUCGAGAACAUAAGUUGCUUCAUAUGCGGUGACCGUUUAGGCGUAUGGCCUGUCAACUUUCUGCUGCGAUGAUAUGCAACAAUAUCCGUGUGCGAUAAUCAUGCUAUGAGGAGCAAUAUAUCUGUUGGAAGCU